RNAcentral lists this ribosomal RNA (684 nucleotides) under Tuber excavatum var. intermedium. Its description in RNAcentral is "eukaryotic LSU rRNA". The stretch from base 264 to 417 matches the Rfam family "5.8S ribosomal RNA". Lineage: Eukaryota; Fungi; Ascomycota; Pezizomycetes; Pezizales; Tuberaceae. The record is from RNAcentral.
GAAGUAAAAGUCGUAACAAGGUUUCCGUAGGUGAACCUGCGGAAGGAUCAUUAAAAAGUAUCGGGACCCCCAUAUCCGGUCCCCGAGCUCCAAACCCCUCCGAGUACCCAUCCAUGUUGCUUCCCCAGGUCAGCAGCCAUUGCUGCCUGUCCGACCAUGCCCGGUCACAGGACGGAGGUGCCUGGGGAGGGGCUCAAACAGAAACUCUGGUACACACAGGCUGUCUGAGUGGGCCAUGUGCCCUGCAAGAUUGAACGAGUUAAAACUUUCAACAACGGAUCUCUUGGCUCUCGCAUCGAUGAAGAACGCAGCGAAAUGCGAUAAGUAAUGUGAAUUGCAGAAUUCAGUGAAUCAUCGAAUCUUUGAACGCACAUUGCGCCCUUCGGCAUUCCUUAGGGCAUGCCUGUUCGAGCGUCACUAACAACCUUCUCACGGAUCCCGUGGUAGUGGCGGAAGCUCCACUGUGCCCCUCUGGGCUGCGGUGCAGCUCCGCUGAAAUGCAUAAGCAGGACAAGUGGGCCUCAGCGAGUGACUUAGUAAGUGUCUUGAAGACGUAGAGCAGUCAGCAGCUAGGCCAUGCCCUGCCCACCAGGACUCCCCCCCCCAUCUGGUGUGAACUCUUGGUUGACCUCGGAUCAGGUAGGCAUACCCGCUGAACUUAAGCAUAUCAAUAAGCGGAGGAAA